AUUAAAAAAUAAUAAUGUUCGUUUUGUCUAUUCUUAAUUUUCUUUUAAAAUAUUCAAGGUAUUUUUAAAUACUUAUAUUGCAUGAAAGCUCGAUUGCUAAAAAUAAAAAUGAGAAUAUUUGUACCUUUCCAUGCCCAAUCUUGUCCCACCCCCUCUUCUUUAAUUCUUUCUGGUUGAGGCUUUACUUCCUCAACCCCUCUAACCCAAUUUGAUUCACCAGCAAAUAAGUCAUUUAAAACCAUAUAAUAACAACAUAUCUCUGUAGCCAUAAUAGCAACAUUUUUCACUAUUCUUAAUGGAGUUUCUAAUUUGCAAUUCAUAAACAACGAAAUCAAAAUCCGAUCACUUCACCGGAUUCAACUUUAUUCAGCUAAAAGUACUUAAAUAUAGAAGGACAAGUAUAUAUUAUGAAACACUUAGUUCUUAUCAAACCUUAAAAUCAAUCAAAAAACACAUGCGAUUCGGUUCCUCCUCCUCCUUCUCCAACAGCAGUUGUCAAGACCAAACUGAUCCGUUUCCUCUUCAUUGGAAAUGAAACAGUGUUAUUACACCUUGGAAGCUUGUGAUUGUAGUUUAUACGUGAGUUUUUAUCAUGAAGUGGACAACGACAUUUACGGUGGUAAGGUCGACGUUCGACACAGUUGUCGUAACCAGAUAUGCUUCCUUCAUACAGCGACCAGAACAAGCCACCUCCGGCGGUUGCCAUGUGUGUCUCUCUCUCAAUCAAAUGAGAGGUUUAGUUUCUUCUUAUGCCAAUGUGUAUAGUUUCUCUCUCAAUCAAAUGAGAGGUUUAGUUUCUUCUUAUGCCAAUGUGUAUAGUUUCUCUCUCUCCUUUUAUUUAUAAUGGCAAGUUCUUAUUUACGCAUUUAAAAUAGUUGGGUAACUUUAC
RNAcentral lists this long non-coding RNA (889 nucleotides) under Lathyrus oleraceus (garden pea). RNAcentral's name for it is "Pisum sativum (pea) long non-coding RNA (PSAT_LNC013272)". The record is from RNAcentral. Lineage: Eukaryota; Viridiplantae; Streptophyta; Magnoliopsida; Fabales; Fabaceae.